AAACCAUGCAUCGGGAAUUUUCUAAUUAGUUCCUUGAAAUGCUCCCAUGCUUCAUAUAAUGUUUCAUCUUCCAAUUGCCCAAACGAUGUAAUGUCAUUCCUAAGCUU
Gossypium raimondii (Peruvian cotton) is the source of this 107-nucleotide non-coding RNA. The record is from Rfam. Lineage: Eukaryota; Viridiplantae; Streptophyta; Magnoliopsida; Malvales; Malvaceae.